UACGAAGGGUGCAAGCGUUAUCCGGAUUCACUGGGUUUAAAGGGUGCGUAGGAGGGCAGGUAAGUCAGUGGUGAAAUCCCCGAGCUUAACUUGGGAACUGCCGUUGAUACUAUCUGUCUUGAAUAUUGUGGAGGUGAGCGGAAUAUGUCAUGUAGCGGUGAAAUGCUUAGAUAUGACAUAGAACACCAAUUGCGAAGGCAGCUCGCUACACAUAUAUUGACUCUGAGGCACGAAAGCGUGGGGAUCAAACAGG
RNAcentral lists this ribosomal RNA (253 nucleotides) under uncultured bacterium. RNAcentral's name for it is "partial 16S ribosomal RNA". It matches the Rfam family "Bacterial small subunit ribosomal RNA", at positions 524 to 776 of the family's 1533-position model. The record is from RNAcentral.